AACUGAUACUACCUGCGGGAACCUGCGGAGGGAUCAUUACCGAGUUUACAACUCCCAAACCCCUGUGAACAUACCACUUGUUGCCUCGGCGGAUCAGCCCGCUCCCGGUAAAACGGGACGGCCCGCCAGAGGACCCCUAAACUCUGUUUCUAUAUGUAACUUCUGAGUAAAACCAUAAAUAAAUCAAAACUUUCAACAACGGAUCUCU
Molecule: unclassified non-coding RNA, 208 nt
Filed under: soil metagenome
Description: partial contains 5.8S ribosomal RNA, internal transcribed spacer 2, and large subunit ribosomal RNA
Source: RNAcentral